AGUACCUACGGGGGGCAGCAGUGGGGGAUAUUGCACAAUGGGCGAAAGCCUGAUGCAGCGACGCCGCGUGAGGGGAGACGGUCUUCGGAUUGUAAACCUCUGUCUUUGGGGAAGAAUAAAGACGGUACCCAAAGAGGAAGCUCCGGCUAACUACGUGCCAGCAGCCGCGGUAAUACGUAGGGAGCGAGCGUUAUCCGGAAUUACUGGGUGUAAAGGGAGCGUAGGCGGGCUUGUAAGUUGAAUGUCUAAUCCACCGGCUCAACCGGUGAUCGCGUUCAAAACUGCAGGUCUUGAGUGAA
Molecule: ribosomal RNA, 299 nt
Filed under: uncultured bacterium
Lineage: Bacteria
Description: partial 16S ribosomal RNA
Rfam family: Bacterial small subunit ribosomal RNA
Source: RNAcentral